RNAcentral lists this ribosomal RNA (454 nucleotides) under uncultured bacterium. Its description in RNAcentral is "bacterial SSU rRNA". It matches the Rfam family "Bacterial small subunit ribosomal RNA", at positions 340 to 786 of the family's 1533-position model. The record is from RNAcentral.
UACGGAAGGCAGCAGUGGGGAAUAUUGCACAAUGGGCGAAAGCCUGAUGCAGCUAUGCCGCGUGUAUGAAGAAGGCCUUAGGGUUGUAAAGUACUUUCAUCGGGGAGGAAAAACAAAACUAAUAAUUUUAUUUCUUGACGUUACCCGAAAAAGAAGCACCGGCUAACUCCGUGCCAGCAGCCGCGGUAAUACGGAGGGUGCUAGCGUUAAUCAGAAUUACUGGGCGUAAAGAGCACGUAGGUGGUUUUUUUAAGUCAGAUGUGAAUCCCUGGGCUUAACCUAGGAACUGCAUUUUGAAACUGAAAUACUAGAGUAUCGUAGAGGGAGGUAGAAUUCUAGGUGUGCGGUGAAAUGCGUAGAUAUCUGGAGGAAUACCUGUGGCGAAAGCGGCCUCCUAAACGAAUACUGACACUGAGGUGCGAAAAGCGUGGGGAGCAAACAGGGAUUAGAUACC